CUUUCUCUAUGUAUCUUAUUCUCAGUGCUUCCUCCAGAGGAGAGUGGUGAAGCUGACUACUGCACUAGCCAGAGUUUUUCUCCCAGCAAAUGUAAUUGGAGCCUUUUUUUUUUUUUUUUCCAGGAAGACCAAGACCGGAUAUACCA
Molecule: long non-coding RNA, 146 nt
Filed under: Mustela putorius furo (domestic ferret)
Lineage: Eukaryota; Metazoa; Chordata; Mammalia; Carnivora; Mustelidae
Description: lncRNA (ENSMPUG00000031991.1)
Source: RNAcentral